Lepisosteus oculatus (spotted gar) is the source of this 1037-nucleotide non-coding RNA. The record is from RefSeq and is a predicted model, not a curated record. Lineage: Eukaryota; Metazoa; Chordata; Actinopteri; Semionotiformes; Lepisosteidae.
AGAAGGAAAGGGAGCCCCAGCACCCCGAAAUCGGACUGCCCUGCCUGAUCGUGCUGCUGUCGGCCGUCCCCCUGUCCGCCCUGGCCUCGUCCUGCUGCGUCCUCUUCAUCCUCCUCCGCGGGAGAGGUAUUCCGGAGAGAAGGGGACAAUAUGACAUCGCUGUGCGGGCAGAGGAGACCAGCCGGGAGCAGUCCGAAAACCUCAACUUCGCCUCUCAGCCCCGGCGGCCCAGGAACUGAGAAACUUCGGCCUCAGGAGACCCCCGCUAGCAGCACCUGGGGUUCAAGCCGGACCCGGUCCGGGCCUCUGCGUGUAGCGCUUUGUUGUUGUUGUUGUUGUUGUUGUUGUUGGCGUUGUGCUGAGAAAGUGUUUUAAUUCCGUCCGCCUGCCCGCCAGAAGCACCGACCCCACGGCACGCGUGAAGUCACGACACACACCGCGCGCCGGCCGCACGUCUUGAUCAGCUCAGGGGCGCGUUCAGCUGCAUGAUCGCGACGGGCACCGGUCCGGCUCGGCCCAGGCCCACUGAAAACACGGGCUUCUGCACCCGACGGAAGUGCAGUGCUGUUAUCAUGAAGGAGGGGGUGAUCACACGCACGGCACGUGUUCGCGUAAUUCUGAGAAAGUGGCCUCGCUCUUACUGGUAAUGUGCAAUACCAACGUGCAAACGUGAUGUUCAGUCAUCGCCAUGUGCAAAUCGCCUGGGUGAUCAUCACCUGAUCGCGCAAAUGCCACACAAUACCUACAUGAUCUUUAAGCAGACUUGCAGUUUUAUUUAUUUUUUUAGCAGCGGGAUCGAUCGCACGGUUAUAACGGUUGUGUUCAACGUCAGGCUCAAAUCGCGAUAUUAUUAUUUUUUUUUUUUCUAUAUUUCCAGCGGGCAGUCAGUCCGAGCGCCGGACCGACGCCGAAAAGAACAGCGUGCACGAAGCAGGCUUAUGAGCGCCAACAGAAGGAUUGAUGCACUGUCCUGUGUGGCGAUGUCAAAGCUCUUUGGUUUCAGUUUAAAAAAAAAACCAACAACCAUAAUAAAUCAU